This 496-nucleotide ribosomal RNA is filed under the name uncultured bacterium. RNAcentral's name for it is "partial 16S ribosomal RNA". It matches the Rfam family "Bacterial small subunit ribosomal RNA", at positions 28 to 506 of the family's 1533-position model. The record is from RNAcentral.
GAUGAACGCUGGCGGCGUGCCUAAUACAUGCAAGUCGAGCGAACAGACGAGGAGCUUGCUCCUCUGACGUUAGCGGCGGACGGGUGAGUAACACGUGGAUAACCUACCUAUAAGACUGGGAUAACUUCGGGAAACCGGAGCUAAUACCGGAUAAUAUAUUGAACCGCAUGGUUCAAUAGUGAAAGACGGUUUUGCUGUCACUUAUAGAUGGAUCCGCGCCGCAUUAGCUAGUUGGUAAGGUAACGGCUUACCAAGGCAACGAUGCGUAGCCUACCUGAGAGGGGAUUCGCCCACACUGAAACUGAGACACGGCCCAAAUCCCUAGGGGAGGCGGCGGAAGGAAACCUCCGGCAAUGGCCGAAGGCCUACGGAGGAAAGGCCGGGGAGGUAAUAAGGGUCUUCGAUCCGUAAACCUCUGUAAUAGGGAAGAACCAAUUGGGAAAGUAACUAUCCACGUUUGAAGGGAACCUAAUCGAAAGGCAACGGCUAACUCCGG